UGAUUGUUGGUCUCCGCCACAAACAUUGGCUAAACGCGACCUGCUCAGUUUCCACUCCUCUCUUCUAAAAUCAUAGAGUCUUAUUAGUCUAAGGCGUUCACCAGUGUGAGUGAUAGCCUUCCACGUCCGUGUUUACAUGCGAGACGGAUGGGUCACUCACGAAGGUAAAUGUGGCAGAUAUGCACCUUACGUGUAUCACUGCAGCGGUUAGAACUUUUUGUCGCGCAACAUCCCAUUCGCUGUGGUUGGUGCUAUUGGAAAAGCUACCAAUAUUUGACAGUUUAUAAAGUCAGCCUGUAUGGACUAGGCAACAAAAUAAAAUAAAAAACAUUUCCGAUUUCCGAUUCUGUACAAGGUUGGCUGAGCUCAGCAAAAGUUGGGAAUGUUCUUUUUGUUAGUAGCACUCAAAGGAGUAAGAAGUGCGCGCGAUUCUCCCGAUUAAACUUAGUGAAAAUAAAAGUCAGUGAGCAUUUGUAAAUUUAUGAUACUAUUGUACAGUUAAAAUUAGUAAUACGUGUUAAAACAGCGACAAGGCAUCCACAGUUAACACGAAAACGUAGGAAAAUUUGUUAAAAGGUCCCAGCGGCCUUUUUGUUUCGGGCUGGAGACUUGGUCCGAAGCCAUUUUCAUUUACAGUGACCAACGGAGAGAAACCUGACGCGGUCCAACCGCAAGCCACUAACAAGGCAACUCCGACCUCACUAGUCCCACGUCAAUUGGUGAACUUUAAAGACAGAUUCGAUAAACAUCAAGGCAUACAGGAUAAAGAGAACCCCGUGUGUUGCUUCUGUGAGAUGGCGUCCCACAUACCGUUGGUUGGGACGAUUCCGUAGAAAAUUCCAAGACUACCUACGGCUGGCACAUGGUCAGUUACUAUUGAAGAUCAUCGAUCAUCUCGUCGAAGAUAAUGCACACUACUAUUCCGGAAUAAAAACCGCAAGUAAAACAAUCCCAUGUGACGUCACAUAGAUUUAAGAAAACCAAUGUUAGGCUAGCAAUAAAUUUGUUAAUAAUGUUCAGAAAA
This is a long non-coding RNA of Malaya genurostris, 1024 nucleotides long. RefSeq lists it as uncharacterized. The record is from RefSeq and is a predicted model, not a curated record. NCBI's taxonomy places the organism in Eukaryota, Metazoa, Arthropoda, Insecta, Diptera, Culicidae. The transcript is spliced from 4 exons.